Molecule: long non-coding RNA, 740 nt
Filed under: Gossypium barbadense (sea-island cotton)
Lineage: Eukaryota; Viridiplantae; Streptophyta; Magnoliopsida; Malvales; Malvaceae
Description: long non-coding RNA (GBAR_LNC022853)
Source: RNAcentral
UUUGAAUACAUUGAAAUAAAUUAUCCUUUCAUUUAUAGGUUAAGAGAAACAAAAAAAAUAUAAUUUUUAUUUUUUAUAGUUGAAAGAGAAAGAUAACAAAAAGACACAAAAAGGAAGCUCCAGAGAUACAGUAAACCAGACAGAAAUAAAGUAAAAUGAGCAAAAUCCAAGCCACAAAGACAUGAGCAGCUGCGACACCUUUUUUAUCAAAGAAAUCUGCAGUCGAAUUAGCUUCCCUGAAGAUAUGGACAAAUUCAACUCGUUCGAUGUGGUUAACUAAGAGAUCCAAUUCAUUGAAAAAUCUCCAGAGUUUCCAUGGUCUGUCAUCUUUCUUGUUAACCAGUGAAAUAGCAUACAUUGAAUCCGAUUCCACCAGAAGAUCGAAGCUGCCACAACAAGGGGAGUCAACAAAUAAUUGCAUAUAGUUCAGCCAUGAUGGAAGCCAUGCUGCCCAUAGGGCCGUAAAAUAAGCUCUUCAGAUUACCGAUAAACAUGGACAUUAAUUUCAGUUUGGUUUUCAAGCGAAAUCCCACUCUUCCUUCCACGAGAAAACCCUUCCAUUUUUCUGCAAUCAUAGGCUUGAAAUCCCUAUGGUUCAUCCAGCACUCAUAAAACUUGAAAGGUCGAGGUCCCCAGUCAGCCAUUUCAGACAAUAGAACAAGAGGGCAAUGGUCUGAUAUACUUCUCUUUCUGACAUAAGCCUUCAAAUUUCCUAAUCCAAUCUGCUGAAACCAAAAACC